GUCGAGUUCAGUAACGCGGGCUUGUGAUCCAAGUGGAGACUACAAGGUGUUGGAAUGUUGGACCGAUUUCAUUGGGCCGGGUUCGAUUUGGGCUUUCUACUCGCCUGCCCAUUCCAAGCUGAGAGUUGAAGGUUCGGACCUAAGCGAAGGCUUGUGGUUCAGACUUUCUUAGAGCGGAGGAGACUGCGUGAGGCUGGUUUCACAGAGCAGCGUCCACCUCCCGCUCUUGGUAGUAUCCUUAGGAUAACGGGCCGGUGCCUUCCGAGCCCACUAUGACCCAAUAAGCCGAUCUCAAUUAAACCAUUUCAUAG
Molecule: signal recognition particle RNA, 311 nt
Filed under: Eutrema salsugineum
Lineage: Eukaryota; Viridiplantae; Streptophyta; Magnoliopsida; Brassicales; Brassicaceae
Description: Plant signal recognition particle RNA
Rfam family: Plant signal recognition particle RNA
Source: Rfam by way of RNAcentral